Molecule: long non-coding RNA, 290 nt
Organism: Pipistrellus kuhlii (Kuhl's pipistrelle)
Lineage: Eukaryota; Metazoa; Chordata; Mammalia; Chiroptera; Vespertilionidae
Exons: 2
Source: RefSeq, a predicted model, not a curated record
UCCUCCCAGGCAGGGCCCGUCCCAGCCUGCAGCUUCCUCAGCCAAGGUCAGCUUUACCUGCAGGGGCCUGUCCGGCUUCCGCCCCUAAGAUAGCAGGCCUUUGGAAGGUGUGGACGUGCUCUCACGGACAGUAAGAACCAGGCUGCCCAGCUUCCGGAACACAUCUUGGAUCUGAAAGUCAGGGCCUUUCUUAACGCUAAUUGUAGAAACUCUUGAAAUAAUAAAAUAAAAACCGAUUGUGUCCACUUAUACUCUCGUAAAUAAAGAGUGGUUUACCAAUUUAUCUGAAA